CGAAAGCCUGACGGAGCAAGACCGCGUGGGGGAGGAAGGUUCUUGGAUUGUCAACCCCUUUUCUCAGGGAAGAACACUGACGGUACCUGAGGAAAAAGCAUCGGCUAACUCCGUGCCAGCAGCCGCGGUAAUACGGGGGAUGCAAGCGUUAUCCGGAAUGAUUGGGCGUAAAGAGUCCGUAGGUAGUCAUCCAAGUCUGCUGUUAAAGAGCGAGGCUUAACCUCGUAAAGGCAGUGGAAACUGGAAGACUAGAGUGUAGUAGGGGCAGAGGGAAUUCCUGGUGUAGCGGUGAAAUGCGUAGAGAUCAGGAAGAACACCGGUGGCGAAGGCGCUCUGCUGGGCUAUAACUGACACUGAGGGACGAAAGCUAGGGGAGCGAAUGGGAUUAGAUACCCCAGUAGUCCUAGCGGUAAACGAUGGAAACUAGGUGUGGCCUGUAUCGACCCGGGCCGUGCCGAAGCAAACGCGUUAAGUUUCCCGCCUGGGGAGUACGCACGCAAGUGUGAAACUCAAAGGAAUUGACGGGGGCCCGCACAAGCGGUGGAGUAUGUGGUUUAAUUCGAUGCAACGCGAAGAACCUUACCAGGACUUGACAUCUCUGGAAUCUCCUUGAAAGGGGAGAGUGCCGUAAGGAACCAGAAGACAGGUGCUGCAUGGCUUCUCAGCUC
This 668-nucleotide ribosomal RNA is filed under the name uncultured cyanobacterium. RNAcentral's name for it is "bacterial SSU rRNA". It matches the Rfam family "Bacterial small subunit ribosomal RNA", at positions 376 to 1061 of the family's 1533-position model. Lineage: Bacteria; Bacillati; Cyanobacteriota. The record is from RNAcentral.